This is a long non-coding RNA of Oncorhynchus keta (chum salmon), 384 nucleotides long. RefSeq lists it as uncharacterized. The transcript is spliced from 4 exons. NCBI's taxonomy places the organism in Eukaryota, Metazoa, Chordata, Actinopteri, Salmoniformes, Salmonidae. The record is from RefSeq and is a predicted model, not a curated record.
CAACCCCCAGCCUCCUGGCUUCCUCCUCAGGCAUAAUGACAAUACAACCUCCAGCCUCCUGGCUUCCUCCUCAGGUAUAAUGACAAUACAACCCCCAGCCUCCUGGCUUCCUCCUCAGGUAUAAUGACAAUACAACCCCCAGCCUCCUGGCUUCCUCCUCAGGCAUAAUGACAAUACAACCUCCAGCCUCCUGGCUUCCUCCUCAGGCAUAAUGACAAUACAACCCCCAGCCUCCUGGCUUCCUCCUCAGGCAUAAUGACAAUACAACCCCCAGCCUCCUGGCUUCCUCCUCAGGUGUAAUGACAAUACAACCCCCAGCCUCCUGGCUUCCUCCUCAGGUAUAAUGACAAUACAACCCCCAGCUUCCUCCUCAGGCAUAAUGAC